This 240-nucleotide ribosomal RNA is filed under the name Kuhlia xenura. RNAcentral describes it as "partial small subunit ribosomal RNA". The record is from RNAcentral. Lineage: Eukaryota; Metazoa; Chordata; Actinopteri; Centrarchiformes; Kuhliidae.
AGAGACCCAAGUUGAUAGUUUCCGGCGUAAAGAGUGGUUAAGAUAAAAUUUAAACUAGAGCCGAACGCUUUCAGAGCUGUUAUACGCCCCGAAAGUAAGAAGUUCAAUCACGAAAGUGGCUUUAUAAUACUGAACCCACGAAAGCUAUGAAACAAACUGGGAUUAGAUACCCCACUAUGCCUAGCCCUAAACAUUGAUAGUAUAAUACAUCUACUAUCCGCCUGGGUACUACGAGCACCA